GAUGAACGCUGGCGGCGUGCCUAAUACAUGCAAGUCGAGCGAACGGACGAGAAGCUUGCUUCUCUGAUGUUAGCGGCGGACGGGUGAGUAACACGUGGAUAACCUACCUAUAAGACUUGGAUAACUUCGGGAAACCGUAGCUAAUACCGGAUAAUAUUUUGAACCGCAUGGUUCAAAAGUGAAAGACGGUCUUUCUGUCACUUAUAGAUGGAUCCGCGCUGCAUUAGCUAGUUGGUAAGGUAACGGCUUACCAAGGCAACGAUGCAUAGCCGACCUGAGAGGGUGAUCGGCCACACUGGAACUGAGACACGGUCCAGACUCCUACGGGAGGCAGCAGUAGGGAAUCUUCCGCAAAGGGCGAAAGCCUGACGGAGCAACGCCGCGUGAGUGAUGAAGGUCUUCGGAUCGUAAAACUCUGUUAUUAGGGAAGAACAUAUGUGUAAGUAACUGUGCACAUCUUGACGGUACCUAAUCAGAAAGCCACGGCUAACUACGUG
RNAcentral lists this ribosomal RNA (497 nucleotides) under uncultured bacterium. RNAcentral describes it as "partial 16S ribosomal RNA". It matches the Rfam family "Bacterial small subunit ribosomal RNA", at positions 28 to 507 of the family's 1533-position model. The record is from RNAcentral.